CGGUCCUGCGCAACAGGAGCUGCGAACCGUGUCAGGUCGGGAACGAAGCAGCACUAAGCAAUCCUUCUGUGUGCCGCAGGGAAGCC
RNAcentral lists this signal recognition particle RNA (86 nucleotides) under bovine gut metagenome. RNAcentral describes it as "Bacterial small signal recognition particle RNA". It matches the Rfam family "Bacterial small signal recognition particle RNA". From Rfam's summary of the family: The signal recognition particle (SRP) is a universally conserved ribonucleoprotein involved in the co-translational targeting of proteins to membranes. Archaeal SRP consists of a 7S RNA and homologues of the eukaryotic SRP19 and SRP54 proteins. In most bacteria, the SRP consists of a 4.5S RNA and the Ffh protein (a homologue of the eukaryotic SRP54 protein). The record is from RNAcentral.